This 292-nucleotide ribosomal RNA is filed under the name uncultured bacterium. RNAcentral's name for it is "partial 16S ribosomal RNA". It matches the Rfam family "Bacterial small subunit ribosomal RNA", at positions 505 to 796 of the family's 1533-position model. The record is from RNAcentral.
GUGUCAGCCGCCGCGGUAAGACGAACCGUGCGAACGUUGUUCGGAAUCACUGGGCUUAAAGGGCGCGUAGGCGGGCAACCAAGUCUGAGGUGAAAUCCUCCAGCUUAACUGGAGAAGUGCCCCGGAUACUGGUUGCCUCGAGGAUGGUAGGGGCAUCUGGAACUAGCGGUGGAGCGGUGAAAUGCGUUGAUAUCGCUAGGAACUCCGGUGGCGAAGGCGAGGUGCUGGACCAUUUCUGACGCUGAGGCGCGAAAGCCAGGGGAGCGAACGGGAUUAGAUACCCCCGUAGUCC